This 1015-nucleotide long non-coding RNA is filed under the name Lytechinus variegatus (green sea urchin). RNAcentral's name for it is "uncharacterized LOC121421540, transcript variant X1". Lineage: Eukaryota; Metazoa; Echinodermata; Echinoidea; Temnopleuroida; Toxopneustidae. The record is from RNAcentral.
AAGUCCUAUUAUAUUCAUACAUGUAUCAAGAUUGCUAGGCAGCAAUUUAUUUUAUUUUAGUUUCUGAGAUAUGAGGGGAUCUUCAUGGCGAUGCUUUCUUAACUAUACUAAGUGAUGAAAAGAAAGAAACAUUUUGCAAAAUAUCAGUUUUAGAUAUUAUUUAAAGAUCAGUUUUAACUGCAGCUGAUCAGUUUAAUGCAGGAAGAAGGCAAUCAUUCAUUUGCAAAUUCACACCCCACGGCAACAUUACGUUUGAAUGCCAAAUCCCACCCGGCUAAAAGUUUAUUUUAAUAAAUAAAACAAAAUAAGCAUUAUGCUGAAAAUAUGUUUUCUCUUUGAAUGGAUUCAAAACAAAAUUUUGGGGAUGUUGACUAGGCCUUUAAUUCUGGGGCCAAUUGUGCAAUGGCCCCUAAAGCAAAUAAAAUCAUAUCCCUUUAAAAUUAAUUUUUAUUCAACAGUUGGUUGGCGAACUAGUCUAAAAAAAGCAUGGCACGCACAGGAAGUGAUUAAAAGCACUUGAGCCUGUCUAAGCCACGCUGGACUGUAUGGCUGUUCGCUGGAAAGAAAAAAAAAGUUUGUUUACACUUGAACGAGUGGAAGUUCCCACUUAGGCCAUAUUGCAUGGGAGGAUUAUUCGGAUAGAUUCUAAAUUUACACAGAUAUGAUGAAAUUGCCAUACGUGGCAUUUUUCAUCCGAUGUCGGAUAGUUAGUUGUCCUGUCCAUAUUCAUAGUGAUGUGUUGUCAAAAGUUGGUGAAAGUCUGUCUGUUUUGCUCUUUCUGAUUGUUGAAGUGAGCCCUCUUUGUUGAGAAUGGGCCAACAGAAGCAGAUCCAGAAAAGAUGGUUACAUGCUAAUACCAAACGCUGUCGACUUUCGUGGCAAGGCGCUGAAGAUCAGGAUGAAUUUUUCACCCGGGAACUCCUUCGUGCCUCCACCAAAUUCCAGGCUCAACGCAGUAGGUCGGAGGGCAAGCUGAACAGUACUGGUGAAUACGUAACCCAUCACAGCCAUGGGA